GAUGAACGCUGGCGGCGUGCCUAAUACAUGCAAGUCGAGCGAACGGACGAGAAGCUUGCUUUUCUGAUGUUAGCGGCGGACGGGUGAGUAACACGUGGAUAACCUACCUAUAAGACUGGGAUAACUUCGGGAAACCGGAGCUAAUACCGGAUAAUAUUUUGAACCGCAUGGUUCAAAAGUGAAAGACGGUCUUGCUGUCACUUAUAGAUGGAUCCGCGCUGCAUUAGCUAGUUGGUAAGGUAACGGCUUACCAAGGCAACGAUGCAUAGCCGACCUGAGAGGGGGAUCGGCCACACUGGAACUGAGACAAGGUCCAGACUCCUACGGGAGGCAGCAGUAGGGAAUCUUCCGCAACGGGCGAAAGCCUGACGGAGCAACGCCGCGUGAGUGAUGAAGGUCUUCGGAUCGUAAAACUCUGUUAUUAGGGAAGAACAUAUGUGUAAGUAACUGUGCACAUCUUGACGGUACCUAAUCAGAAAGCCACGGCUAACUACGUG
RNAcentral lists this ribosomal RNA (497 nucleotides) under uncultured bacterium. RNAcentral's name for it is "partial 16S ribosomal RNA". It matches the Rfam family "Bacterial small subunit ribosomal RNA", at positions 28 to 507 of the family's 1533-position model. The record is from RNAcentral.